This 191-nucleotide non-coding RNA is filed under the name Ligilactobacillus araffinosus DSM 20653. Its description in RNAcentral is "Lactobacillus aviarius subsp. araffinosus DSM 20653 6S / SsrS RNA". It matches the Rfam family "6S / SsrS RNA". From Rfam's summary of the family: E. coli 6S RNA was the first non coding RNA to be sequenced, but its function was unknown until recently. It consists of 184 nucleotides that fold into an extended hairpin structure with a large single-stranded internal bulge. The 6S RNA specifically associates with RNA polymerase holoenzyme containing the sigma70 specificity factor. The record is from Rfam by way of RNAcentral. Lineage: Bacteria; Bacillati; Bacillota; Bacilli; Lactobacillales; Lactobacillaceae.
AUAUUUCUAUGGUGUACGCAUUGUCUCAUCAAUGUAAGGUUGACCGAACACUUUUAGACAUGAGGAUCACGAUAUUUGGUGGCUGGCAGGCUCAUUUCACUUGAGAACCAAAAGCCAUCUUAAGUGAUCCGUUCCUGCUGAUAUUGCGGGUUCAACUACAAGAGACGAUUAACGGCACUAAUGGAGCAACG